This 253-nucleotide ribosomal RNA is filed under the name uncultured bacterium. Its description in RNAcentral is "partial 16S ribosomal RNA". It matches the Rfam family "Bacterial small subunit ribosomal RNA", at positions 524 to 776 of the family's 1533-position model. The record is from RNAcentral.
CACGUAGGGCGCGAGCGUUGUCCGGAAUUAUUGGGCGUAAAGAGCUCGUAGGCGGCCUGUUGCGUCCGCUGUGAAAGCCCGGGGCUUAACCCCGGGUCGGCAGUGGAUACGGGCAGGCUAGAGGUAGGUAGGGGAGAAUGGAAUUCCCGGUGUAGCGGUGAAAUGCGCAGAUAUCGGGAAGAACACCCGUGGCGAAGGCGGCACUCUGGGACGGUACUGACGCUGAGACGCGAAAGCGUGGGGAGCGAACAGG